This 450-nucleotide ribosomal RNA is filed under the name uncultured organism. Its description in RNAcentral is "partial 16S ribosomal RNA". It matches the Rfam family "Bacterial small subunit ribosomal RNA", at positions 330 to 797 of the family's 1533-position model. The record is from RNAcentral.
CGUACACUCCUACGGGAGGCAGCAGUGGGGAAUAUUGGACAAUGGGCGCAAGCCUGAUCCAGCCAUGCCGCGUGAGUGAUGAAGGCCCUAGGGUUGUAAAGCUCUUUCACCGGUGAAGAUAAUGACGGUAACCGGAGAAGAAGCCCCGGCUAACUUCGUGCCAGCAGCCGCGGUAAUACGAAGGGGGCUAGCGUUGUUCGGAUUUACUGGGCGUAAAGCGCACGUAGGCGGACUAUUAAGUCAGGGGUGAAAUCCCGGGGCUCAACCCCGGAACUGUCUUUGAUACUGGUAGUCUUGAGUUCGAGAGAGGUGAGUGGAAUUCCGAGUGUAGAGGUGAAAUUCGUAGAUAUUCGGAGGAACACCAGUGGCGAAGGCGGCUCACUGGCUCGAUACUGACGCUGAGGUGCGAAAGCGUGGGGAGCAAACAGGAUUAGAAACCCCUGUAGUCCC